GUAGGGAAUAUUGGACAAUGGGCGAAAGCCUGAUCCAGCCAUGCCGCGUGAUAGAUGAAGGCCCUCUGGGUUGUAAAUAUCUUUUAUCUGGGAAGAAACUCCUCUAUUCUUAGAGGCCUGACGGUACCAGAGGAAUAAGCACCGGCUAACUCCGUGCCAGCAGCCGCGGUAAUACGGAGGGUGCAAGCGUUAUCCGGAUUCACUGGGUUUAAAGGGUGCGUAGGCGGGUUGAUAAGUCAGUGGUGAAAGCUCCGGGCUUAACUUGGAAACUGCCAUUGAUACUGUCAGACUUGAAUGUCGUAGAGGUAAGCGGAAUGUUGCAUGUAGCGGUGAAAUGCUUAGAUAUGUUACAGAACACCAAUUGCGAAGGCAGCUUACUAUGCGAUAAUUGACGCUGAGGCACGAAAGCGUGGGGAGCAAACAGGAUUAGAUACCCCUGUAGUCC
RNAcentral lists this ribosomal RNA (445 nucleotides) under uncultured bacterium. RNAcentral describes it as "partial 16S ribosomal RNA". It matches the Rfam family "Bacterial small subunit ribosomal RNA", at positions 354 to 796 of the family's 1533-position model. The record is from RNAcentral.